Molecule: unclassified non-coding RNA, 375 nt
Filed under: uncultured Alphaproteobacteria bacterium
Lineage: Bacteria; Pseudomonadati; Pseudomonadota; Alphaproteobacteria
Description: contains 16S-23S intergenic spacer region
Source: RNAcentral
UCUCGGCUUAUCACCGGCAGUCCCCCUAGAGUGCCCAACUGAAUGAUGGCAACUAAGGGCGAGGGUUGCGCUCGUUGCGGGACUUAACCCAACAUCUCACGACACGAGCUGACGACAGCCAUGCAGCACCUGUCUCUGUUCCAACUAAAUGAAGCGUUCAUUACAAACGCGGCUAUCAGGAUGUCAAGAGCUGGUAAGGUUUUUCGCGUAGCCUCGAAUUAAACCACGUGCUCCACCGCUUGUGCGGGUCCCCGUCAAUUCCUUUGAGUUUCGGUCUUGCGACCGUACUCCCCAGGCGGAGUGUUUCACGCGUUAGCUGGGCCCCUGAUCCACGUAGACCAAGGGCGAACACUCAUCGUUUAUGGCAUGGACUAC